GGCUCAUUAGCUCAGCCGGUUAGAGCGACGGAAUCAUAAUCCGCAGGUCCCCUGUUCGAAUCAGGGAUGAGCCACCA
RNAcentral lists this transfer RNA (77 nucleotides) under Paenalcaligenes suwonensis. RNAcentral describes it as "tRNA-Met". It matches the Rfam family "tRNA". From Rfam's summary of the family: Transfer RNA (tRNA) molecules are approximately 80 nucleotides in length. Their secondary structure includes four short double-helical elements and three loops (D, anti-codon, and T loops). The record is from RNAcentral. Lineage: Bacteria; Pseudomonadati; Pseudomonadota; Betaproteobacteria; Burkholderiales; Alcaligenaceae. RNAcentral also lists the same sequence under 5 other names.